Molecule: ribosomal RNA, 374 nt
Filed under: uncultured organism
Description: partial 16S ribosomal RNA
Rfam family: Bacterial small subunit ribosomal RNA
Source: RNAcentral
GUAGGUGGCAAGCGUUGUCCGGAAUUAUUGGGGCGUAAAGCGCGCGCAGGCGGUUCUUUAAGUCUGAUGUGAAAGCCCACGGGCUCAACCGUGGAGGGUCAUUGGAAACUGGAGGACUUGAGUACAGAAGAGGAAAGCGGAAUUCCACGUGUAGCGGUGAAAUGCGUAGAGAUGUGGAGGAACACCAGUGGCGAAGGCGGCUUUCUGGUCUGUAACUGACGCUGAGGCGCGAAAGCGUGGGGAGCAAACAGGAUUAGAUACCCUGGUAGUCCACGCCGUAAACGAUGAGUGCUAAGUGUUAGGGGGUUUCCGCCCCUUAGUGCUGCAGCUAACGCAUUAAGCACUCCGCCUGGGGAGUACGGCCGCAAAGGCUG